Myxocyprinus asiaticus (Chinese sucker) is the source of this 1457-nucleotide long non-coding RNA. RefSeq lists it as uncharacterized. The record is from RefSeq and is a predicted model, not a curated record. Lineage: Eukaryota; Metazoa; Chordata; Actinopteri; Cypriniformes; Catostomidae. The transcript has 3 exons.
AGUGCCAUUUUUGAAGAAUGGGGGAGAGCUCACUCGGGGUGAGAUUUGUUUGAGUGUGUUCGUUGGGCAAUCGAACGAUUCAACUGUUGCACAGAUCUUAUGUUUCUCCAUGUGCAAGAGAUCUCCACGGGGCGAGAUUGAAGAAGCCGCCGUGACAGAGAUUGAGCAUGAGUGUUCAUUUAAUGUGUUUGUUAAGAGAUAUUUGUGCUAUCUGUUAUAUUUAAUGUUGUGAUUUCUGAGGGGGAAGUAAGCGAUUCUUCUUUUUCCUUUGAUAAAUGAUAUUAGAGGGGAGAAGCGAGACACGCGAGUGUGCACGUGAGUUAUUAGUCACGUGAGUGUUCCAGUGCGGUGCAGCGCUUCACAGACUGGGUGGUCACAGUCAAGUAAAACCCACACGGAUGCUAUAGAGAUGCAACCAAUAAAAGUGACUAUUACAAACAGUGGAGCUGAUAAAAGCUGCUUCACAGAAGAGACAGCCAACAGACAUACAUGAGAAAACAUAACAGAGGAAAACAACAGCAAAAUCUAAGUGACGCUCACAGUGUAUUUAUAAUAAUAAUAAUAAUAAUAAUAACAACAAUCUUGAAUCAAGAUGUGGGACAAUACCUCAACAUAAAAACAGUCCUGUGUUGUCUGUAUUAACGUGCAAAAGCUUGCAAAAAAUAAAUGUAAAAAAAAAAAAAAACAAUUCUAUUCCAAGCACAUAACUGUCAGAAUUAUGUGCUUGCCAUCUGUUGACCAUGUCAGUCUCACAUAGAGACUAAAACACUUUUGUAAGUCAUUCUGAAUAAGAUAAUCUUACCAAAUGCCUUAAAUGUUAAAGUCAGACAACAGUCAGCAAUUUGGUCUGUAUACUUUUCAUUUUGGUUUUCAGUCUUUUAAACUGUGUUGUACUGCGAAAUAUUAUUUUUGCUAAUACAGUUCACUUAUCUGAGUUAUGUAGGUUAUGUGAUAAGUAUUGUGAGGUUGUGCAGUGAUUUGCUUGUCUAAACACAGAAAUAUGUAAAAACUGUAAAUGAUCAUUAUUUUAAUUAUUUUAGUAAUAGGUGUGUGUUAUGCAAUGGCGUAUCGAAAGGGGUUCAGUUGCCCACCCUAAAAAGAACUCUGGCAAACCCCCUUCACCAUGAUCAUAAUAAUACUUUAUAUUUCACAUAAGGUAAUUUUUUAUCAGACAUUAAAUAUUUAACCAAAAUAGAACAACAGCAACCAGUAUUUGUUUAUUUAGAACUUCUCUUUGAAACUCCACCGCUUUUCUCGCGGAUGCGUGUUGUAGCAUGCCAACUGAAUCAUCCAUCAGCAGUACAGGUAGGCUACUUCACUUCAAAACCAGCACCUUAGACAAAACAAUUAAGUAAGCAUUUUUAAAACACAUUUCGCCAAAUGUUUUAUUUCCACAUUAAAUCUUCAUUUAUGUAACUUUUUAAAAAAUAACAAUGUUAUUAAUGAGAGUGUGCAAC